UACGUAGGGUGCGAGCGUUAAUCGGAAUUACUGGGCGUAAAGCGUGCGCAGGUGGUCAUGUAAGACAGAUGUGAAAUCCCCGGGCUUAACCUGGGAAUUGCAUUUGUGACUGCAUGGCUAGAGUGUGGCAGAGGGGGAUGGAAUUCCGCGUGUAGCAGUGAAAUGCGUAGAUAUGCGGAGGAACACCGAUGGCGAAGGCAGUCCCCUGGGCCUGCACUGACGCUCAUGCACGAAAGCGUGGGGAGCAAACAG
This 252-nucleotide ribosomal RNA is filed under the name uncultured prokaryote. Its description in RNAcentral is "partial 16S ribosomal RNA". It matches the Rfam family "Bacterial small subunit ribosomal RNA", at positions 524 to 775 of the family's 1533-position model. The record is from RNAcentral.